RNAcentral lists this ribosomal RNA (253 nucleotides) under uncultured bacterium. RNAcentral describes it as "partial 16S ribosomal RNA". It matches the Rfam family "Bacterial small subunit ribosomal RNA", at positions 524 to 776 of the family's 1533-position model. The record is from RNAcentral.
AACGUAGGAGGCGAGCGUUAUCCGGAUUUACUGGGCGUAAAGCGCACGCAGGUGGCUUUGUAAGUCGGACAUGAAAGCUCCUGGCUUAACUGGGAGAGGUUGUUCGAAACUGCGAGGCUUGAGGUUGGGAGAGGGACGUGGAAUUCCCGGUGUAGUGGUGGAAUGCGUAGAUAUCGGGAGGAACACCAGUGGCGCAAGCGGCGUCCUGGCCCACACCUGACGCUGAGGUGCGAAAGCGUGGGGAGCAAACAGG